CCCUUAGAUGUCCUGGGCUGCACGCGCGCUACACUGAUGUGUCCAGUAAGCACCUAACCUAUUCCGAGAGGAGCGGGUAACCUUAGCAAAGCACAUCGUGAUGGGGAUAGAUUAUUGCAAUUAUUAGUCUUGAACGAGGAAUUCCUAGUAAACACAAGUCAUCAGCUUGUGUUGAUUACGUCCCUGCCCUUUGUACACACCGCCCGUCGCUCCUACCGAUUGAAUGUUCCGGUGAGCUCUUCGGACUGCGCGGUCUGCAGUUUCUGCGUUCCGUGCGGAAAGUUGUGCAAACCUUAACAUUUAGAGGAAGGAGAAGUCGUAACA
Molecule: ribosomal RNA, 324 nt
Filed under: uncultured eukaryote
Lineage: Eukaryota
Description: partial 18S ribosomal RNA
Rfam family: Eukaryotic small subunit ribosomal RNA
Source: RNAcentral